This 548-nucleotide ribosomal RNA is filed under the name uncultured Glomeromycotina. RNAcentral's name for it is "SSU rRNA". It matches the Rfam family "Eukaryotic small subunit ribosomal RNA", at positions 548 to 1098 of the family's 1831-position model. The record is from RNAcentral. Lineage: Eukaryota; Fungi; Glomeromycota.
UUGGAGGGCAAGUCUGGUGCCAGCAGUCGCGGUAAUUCCAGUUCCAAUAGCGUAUAUUAAAGUUGUUGCAGUUAAAAAGCUCGUAGUUGAAUUUCGAGACCGGUUUACUGGUCGUGCUUUUGUACGUACUGGUAUAAUCGGUUUCUCUUUUCUGACGAACUAUAAUGCCGUUAAUUUGGUGUUAUAGGGAAUCAGGACUGUUACUUUGAAAAAAUUAGAGUGUUUAAAGCAGGCUCACGCUUGAAUACAUUAGCAUGGAAUAACGGAAUAGGACGUUUGAUUCUAUUUUGUUGGUUUCUAGGAUCGACGUAAUGAUUAAUAGGGAUAGUUGGGGGCAUUAGUAUUCAAUUGUCAGAGGUGAAAUUCUUGGAUUUAUUGAAGACUAACUACUGCGAAAGCAUUUGCCAAGGAUGUUUUCAUUAAUCAAGAACGAAAGUUAGGGGAUCGAAGACGAUCAGAUACCGUCGUAGUCUUAACCAUAAACUAUGCCGACUAGGGAUCGGAUGAUGUUAAUUUUUUAAUGACUCAUUCGGCGCCUUACGGGAAAC